This 497-nucleotide ribosomal RNA is filed under the name uncultured bacterium. RNAcentral's name for it is "partial 16S ribosomal RNA". It matches the Rfam family "Bacterial small subunit ribosomal RNA", at positions 28 to 507 of the family's 1533-position model. The record is from RNAcentral.
GAUGAACGCUGGCGGCGUGCCUAAUACAUGCAAGUCGAGCGAACAGACGAGGAGCUUGCUCCUCUGACGUUAGCGGCGGACGGGUGAGUAACACGUGGAUAACCUACCUAUAAGACUGGGAUAACUUCGGGAAACCGGAGCUAUUACCGGAUAAUAUAUUGAACCGCAUGGUUCAAUAGUGAAAGACGGUUUUGCUGUCACUUAUAGAUGGAUCCGCGCCGCAUUAGCUAGUUGGUAAGGUAACGGCUUACCAAGGCAACGAUGCGUAGCCGACCUGAGAGGGUGAUCGGCCACACUGGAACUGAGACACGGUCCAGACUCCUACGGGAGGCAGCAGUAGGGAAUCUUCCGCAAUGGGCGAAAGCUUGACGGAGCAACGCCGCGUGAGUGAUGAAGGUCUCCGGAUCGUAAAACUCUGUUAUUAGGGAAGAACAAAUGUGUAAGUAACUAUGCACGUCUUGACGGUACCUAAUCAGAAAGCCACGGCUAACUACGUG